This 287-nucleotide ribosomal RNA is filed under the name uncultured bacterium. RNAcentral's name for it is "partial 16S ribosomal RNA". It matches the Rfam family "Bacterial small subunit ribosomal RNA", at positions 775 to 1067 of the family's 1533-position model. The record is from RNAcentral.
GGAUUAGAUACCCUGGUAGUCCACGCCGUAAACUAUGAUUACUCGUUUUCGGCGAUAUACAGUCGGAGACUAAGCGAAAGUGAUAAGUAAUCCACCUGGGGAGUACGAUCGCAAGGUUGAAACUCAAAGGAAUUGACGGGGGCCCGCACAAGCGGUGGAGCAUGUGGUUUAAUUCGAUGAUACGCGAGGAACCUUACCAGGGCUUAAAUGCAGGACGAAUAUACUGGAAACAGUAUAGCCUUCGGGCGGACUGCAAGGUGCUGCAUGGCUGUCGUCAGCUCGUGCUG